GGGCGCGCGGCCUGGAGGCGGGGCCGCAGGGGGCGCGGGCUGGGGCGGGGGAAUCCCGCCCCGCCCUUUCGGUGCGGCGCCCGGGCGCAACGCAAACAUGGCGGCGGGUGGCACCCGUCGGUGAGGCGGUGCCGGGCGGGGGUUGUCGGGUGUCAUGGGCGGUGGCGACGGCACCGCCCCCGCGUCUCCCUGAGCGGGACGGCAGGGGGGCUUCUGCGCUGAGCCGGGCGAUGGACGAGAGCGGCGAGCUGGGCGGUCUGGAGACCAUGGAGACCCUCACGGAGCUGGGCGACGAGCUGACCCUGGGAGACAUCGACGAGAUGCUGCAAUUUGUCAGUAAUCAAGUGGGAGAGUUCCCUGACUUGUUUUCAGAACAGCUGUGUAGCUCCUUUCCUGGCAGUGGUGGUACUGGUAGCAGCAGCGGCAGCAGUGGCAGCAGCAGCAGCAGCAAUGGCAGGGGCAGCAGCAGCGGAGCUGUGGACCCUUCAGUGCAACGGUCAUUCACCCAGGUCACAUUACCUUCCUUCUCUCCCUCGGCGGCCUCCCCACAGGCUCCAACCCUGCAGGUCAAGGUUUCUCCCACCUCAGUUCCCACCACACCCAGGGCAACUCCUAUUCUUCAGCCCCGCCCCCAGCCCCAGCCUCAACCUCAAGCUCAGCUGCAACAACAGACGGUAAUGAUCACGCCAACAUUCAGCACCGCUCCGCAGACGAGGAUCAUCCAGCAGCCUUUGAUAUACCAGAAUGCAGCUACUAGCUUUCAAGUCCUUCAGCCUCAAGUCCAAAGCCUGGUGACAUCCUCCCAGGUACAGCCGGUCACCAUUCAGCAGCAGGUGCAGACAGUACAGGCCCAGCGGGUGCUGACACAAACGGCCAAUGGCACGCUGCAGACCCUUGCCCCGGCUACGGUGCAGACAGUUGCUGCGCCACAGGUGCAGCAGGUCCCGGUCCUGGUCCAGCCUCAGAUCAUCAAAACAGAUUCCCUUGUUUUGACCACACUGAAGACAGAUGGCAGCCCUGUUAUGGCUGCGGUCCAGAACCCGGCCCUCACCGCCCUCACCACCCCUAUCCAGACGGCUGCCCUUCAAGUACCAACCCUGGUGGGCAGCAGUGGGACCAUUCUGACCACAAUGCCUGUAAUGAUGGGGCAAGAGAAAGUGCCCAUUAAGCAGGUACCUGGGGGAGUCAAGCAGCUUGAGCCCCCCAAAGAAGGAGAAAGGCGGACAACCCAUAAUAUCAUUGAGAAACGAUAUCGCUCCUCCAUCAAUGACAAAAUCAUCGAAUUGAAAGACCUGGUCAUGGGGACAGAUGCCAAGAUGCACAAGUCUGGCGUUCUGAGGAAGGCCAUUGAUUACAUCAAAUACUUGCAGCAGGUCAAUCAUAAACUGCGCCAGGAGAACAUGGUGCUGAAGCUGGCAAAUCAAAAGAACAAGCUUCUAAAGGGCAUCGACCUAGGCAGUCUGGUGGACAAUGAGGUGGACCUGAAGAUCGAGGACUUUAAUCAGAAUGUCCUUCUGAUGUCCCCCCCAGCCUCUGACUCAGGGUCCCAGGCUGGCUUCUCUCCCUACUCCAUUGACUCUGAGCCAGGAAGCCCUCUGUUGGAUGAUGCAAAGGUCAAAGAUGAGCCAGACUCUCCUCCUGUGGCGCUGGGCAUGGUAGACCGCUCACGGAUUCUUCUGUGUGUCCUCACCUUCCUGUGCCUCUCCUUUAACCCCCUGACUUCCCUGCUGCAGUGGGGAGGGGCCCACGACUCUGACCAGCACCCACACUCAGGCUCUGGCCGCAGUGUCCUGUCAUUCGAGUCAGGUUCUGGGGGCUGGUUUGACUGGAUGAUGCCUACUCUUCUCUUAUGGCUGGUAAAUGGUGUGAUUGUCCUGAGCGUCUUUGUGAAGCUGCUGGUUCAUGGGGAGCCAGUGAUCCGGCCACACUCGCGCUCCUCGGUCACCUUCUGGAGGCACCGGAAACAGGCAGAUCUGGAUCUCGCCAGAGGAGAUUUUGCAGCUGCUGCCGCCAACCUGCAAACCUGCCUGGCAGUUUUGGGCCGGGCACUGCCCACCUCCCGCCUGGACCUGGCCUGCAGCCUCUCCUGGAACGUGAUCCGCUACAGCCUGCAGAAGCUACGCCUGGUGCGCUGGCUGCUCAAGAAAGUCUUCCAGUGCCGGCGGGCCACGCCAGCCACUGAGGCAGGCUUUGAAGACGAAGCUAAGACCAGUGCCCGGGAUGCGGCUCUGGCCUAUCACCGGCUGCACCAGCUGCACAUCACAGGGAAGCUUCCUGCAGGAUCCGCCUGUUCCGAUGUACACAUGGCGUUGUGUGCUGUGAACCUGGCUGAAUGUGCAGAGGAGAAGAUCCCACCGAGCACACUGGUUGAGAUCCAUCUGACUGCUGCCAUGGGGCUCAAGACCCGGUGUGGAGGCAAGCUGGGCUUCCUGGCCAGCUACUUCCUCAGCCGAGCCCAGAGCCUGUGUGGCCCCGAGCACAGUGCUGUUCCUGACUCCCUGCGCUGGCUCUGCCACCCGCUGGGCCAGAAGUUUUUCAUGGAGCGGAGCUGGUCUGUGAAGUCAGCUGCCAAGGAGAGUCUAUACUGUGCCCAGAGGAACCCAGCUGACCCCAUUGCGCAGGUCCACCAGGCCUUCUGCAAGAACCUGCUGGAGCGAGCUAUAGAGUCCUUGGUGAAACCUCAGGCCAAGAAGAAGGCUGGAGACCAGGAAGAAGAGAGCUGUGAAUUUUCCAGUGCUCUGGAGUACUUGAAAUUACUUCAUUCUUUUGUGGACUCUGUGGGGGUUAUGAGCCCCCCACCCUCCAGCAGCUCCGUGCUCAAGUCCGCCCUGGGUCCAGACAUCAUCUGUCGGUGGUGGACGUCUGCAAUCACUGUGGCCAUCAGCUGGCUCCAGGGAGACGAUGCAGCUGUGCGCUCUCAUUUUACCAAAGUGGAACGCAUCCCCAAGGCCCUGGAAGUGACAGAGAGCCCCCUGGUGAAGGCCAUCUUCCAUGCCUGCAGAGCCAUGCAUGCCUCACUCCCUGGGAAAGCAGAUGGGCAGCAGAGUUCCUUCUGCCAUUGCGAGAGGGCCAGUGGCCACCUAUGGAGCAGCCUCAACGUCAGUGGGGCCACCUCUGACCCUGCCCUCAACCACGUGGUCCAGCUGCUCACCUGUGACCUGCUACUGUCGCUACGGACAGCGCUCUGGCAAAAACAGGCCAGUGCCAGCCAGGCUGUGGGGGAGACCUACCACGCGUCAGGCCCUGAACUGGCGGGCUUCCAACGGGACCUGGGCAGCCUGCGCAGGCUGGCACACAGCUUCCGCCCAGCGUACCGCAAGUAGCUAGAGGCUUCGGUUCUGCUGCUGGGUAACAUCCCCUUGGCAGUGGCCACAUGAUCUGAACUAAGUCACGGAGGAAAGUUCUAUGACUGGGCUUGCCAGGUUCCAGCUAUUUCCUUUUUUGUUUAUUUGUAUUGCUAUAUAAUGUAUUCAACAUAUUUGUACCUGUAUUUUUUUCUAAAAAUUUGAGUGAGAUGACUCAAGUGUCAUUGAGGGGGCACGGGCUGGGCUGGAAGAAGGCCUCAGAGCGAGGCUGCUGCCGUGAAGCCUGGGAUUCAGCCCCCACACCCAUCACCCUGAGGUGCUGCGGGGCCCACACAGGGUUGCACUGUGGCCACUGUGUGCAGCAAGCCAAGACAGACACAACAGACAGUAUCAUCGGAGAGCCAUUCCUUACUGUGGAGAAGAGGGCAUGUACCCCAGGCCUGGAGCGGCACCCCUGCCUCCUGGAGCCCACUCUGGUCAGCUCUCUGGUCUGCUCACAGCAUGGCUGGCAUCAGUGGCCUUUUUUUCAUAAUAGAUGGGGUCUUGCUGUGUGGCCCAGGCUGGUCUCAGACCCCUAGCCUCAAGCUGUCCUCCUGCCUCGGCCUCCCAAAGUGCUGGGAUUACAGGUGUGAGCCACCUCGCCUGGUCCAAAGGCCUCCUCUUAAAUACCAUUUCCAUUCUGCUACUCCCUGCUGAGAGCCCAUCAGCGGCUCCCCAUUGCCUACCAGGACCAGAAUCCACUUGGCAGCACUGAAGACCCUCCCUGAAGACUGAGAUAUAAAAGCAUCAAAAAGAGCUUGAGAUUUUAAGAAAUGACAGACCUCAGCCUUGCCCUUCACCCACCAGCGGCUCAUACCUAAGCGCUGCAGACUUUACCCGCACACCUCUAGACUCUCUUCCUUUCUAAAGAUACGGAAAGAGGAUACCAAACCUCUCUGGUACCAGCCCAACUGUCCCUCCUCACCCCUCUGUCCCUGUCACACCUGUCCUUUUGUCAAACUGCAGGCAGCCUCCAGGGCCCUUGGGGCUUCACCCAGGGCACUUGUCUACCAGCCCCACGAGGUGCAUCCAGGGCUUUCUUGUCACCAGUUGGGAAAAGCAGGCCUUUUGCCUCUCUCUCCUCUCAUCCUGCUCCUGCCGUUCAGCCAGGUUUCCGGCCUGGCUCAGGGUCAGAGUACGGGACAACAGAGGUUGCUUUUCAGGGGUGUUCCUGCAUGAAGCCACCGUGCGCCUGAUGGCAGGAGCCAGCCCCACCCGCACCCACCAGCUGCUGGAACACAGCCUGCGGCGGCGCACCACGCAGAGCACCAAGCACGGAGAGGUGGAUGCCUGGCCCGGCCAGCGAGAGCGGGCCACCGCCAUCCUGCUGGCCUGCCGCCACCUGCCCCUCUCCUUCCUCUCCUCCCCGGGCCAGCGGGCAGUGCUGCUGGCCGAAGCUGCCCGCACCCUGGAGAAGGUGGGCGACCGGCGCUCCUGCAACGACUGCCAGCAGAUGAUUGUUAAGCUGGGUGGUGGCACUGCCAUUGCCGCCUCCUGACCACCAGGCUCAGCCCACCCCUCCACCUCUCUCUCGAUUUCUCUCUCUCCCCCUCAGCAUCUUCCCGCUGAGAGUGGUGGGGAGGAGCCUUGUCUUCUUAGCUGUCACCUGCCGAGGCUUCUGGGCCACUCAGGCCAGUGCACCCCUGGGCAGAGCCCCUUAAAGCUGCUGUCACUAGAUGCCCAGGUCCAGGGCCUGGUGGGCAUGAGAGGAAAGGUGGCAGGGCAGAAACUGGGCAGCCCUGACUUGAUAGCAGCAGGGGGAGCUCCCAAGCUGCCAAGCCCCUGCCUCCAGCCUUCCUGAGUUUCUCUCUCCUGAACCCUACUCUCUCCUUUUUGCUUCCUCAGUUUUUAUCAGGCUUUCUCUGGGGGACAGCAGUCUCUGAGCACCAGGGAGCAGUUGCCCUCAGGCCUGUGCCCAGCAUGCCCUCCCCUUUUUAUACGAAUGUUUUCUACUAGUGUGCUUGGGUUUGCCAUGAUGCGAGGCUGAGUUGCUGUAGUGUCUUGAUUCUCUCCCUGGGUCUGCGUUCCCUCCCCUGGGCCUGACUGAGCCUGCUCAUUGUUUUUCCCUUUAUUACACAGGACAGCCAGGGGAGGAGGGGGGCCCAGCCCUGGGAGGCUGGUGGGAGGCAGGGGGCAGGCCUGCAGAUGCAUGAAAUAAUGUUGGCAUUAUUUUUUAAUUUUUUAAAAAAUAAAUGGUAUCUUUUUAAUUGUCCUGUUCCUUCCCACUCCCCGCCUCCUAGGAUGUUAGCCCAAGCUCAGGGUAGGCCCAGGGGGCUGGGAAAAAUGAAGCCACCCAUUGGGACUGGGGACCAGGGGCCUUCAGCAUGGCUUCUAGGUUCCCUCCUCCCCCUACCCCUCUCCUACCUCCACAGUACAGACUGUCCCCAACUUAACAGUGGUUCAACUUAAACCAUGUUUCAACUUUACAAUUGGUCUGUUGGGGUAUUAAAUGAAUUUGUGACUUAGGAUAUUUUCAUUUAUGAUGGGUUUAUCAGGAAGUAACCCCAUGGUAAGUUGAGGCAUAUCUGUAUAUAUUUAAACCUAAUUAAUUCUUGAGCUGAAAAUAAACCAGGAUGGCAGGGACCAACCCCUAAUCCCUCCCCAGCGGCAAGCCCAUCUUUUCAGAGUGGGCAGAGGGUUGCUUGUGGUGGGCACUAGGAAUGAGGUCCCCUGCCUCGAUGCAGGUCCUAGGAGAAAAAGUCCUACUUUUCUGGGUCCCCAGGUGCAGCACCUCCCAGAGACUGUUUCUCCCAUGGCCUCCUGAGUGAUGGGCCCUGCCUCCCUGUGCCUCAUCCUCAGGCUGGUUGGAGCAGAGGGUGGGCAGGAGCCCCAGCACAGACUGGGGGGUGCUCACAGCAGGGCCACCUUGAUGCAGGCUGGAAUGUUAUCCCUGGGGUGUGCUUGGACCCCACCUGCUUUCUUUCUCUCCUGCCCCUCCCCUACUCUCACUGUAAUUUAUGGACCCUGUCCGCCUGCGUGUUGUAUGUCCUGUGCCUUUUCUCACUAUUGUUUGGGUGUGGGAGGGGGUGGUUUUUCACUGAAAAGGGGGAUACACCUAUAGCUUUCUUGAUGUUCAAUCAGUCACUGUGUCCCAGACAUAGGUUAUUCAAUAAACACAGAUUGGUACCACCCA
RNA transcript from Pan troglodytes (chimpanzee), 6477 nucleotides. It is a transcript of the gene named sterol regulatory element binding transcription factor 2, with no coding region annotated. The transcript has 20 exons. Lineage: Eukaryota; Metazoa; Chordata; Mammalia; Primates; Hominidae. The record is from RefSeq and is a predicted model, not a curated record.